RNAcentral lists this ribosomal RNA (253 nucleotides) under uncultured bacterium. RNAcentral's name for it is "partial 16S ribosomal RNA". It matches the Rfam family "Bacterial small subunit ribosomal RNA", at positions 524 to 776 of the family's 1533-position model. The record is from RNAcentral.
UACGUAGGGGGCAAGCGUUGUCCGGAUUUAUUGGGCGUAAAGAGCGCGUAGGCGGCUUGGUAGGUCCGCUGUGAAAACUCGAGGCUCAACCUCGAGAUGUCGGCGGAAACCACUUGGCUAGAGUCCGGAAGAGGAGAGUGGAAUUCCUGGUGUAGCGGUGAAAUGCGCAGAUAUCAGGAAGAACACCUAUGGCGAAGGCAGCUCUCUGGGACGGUACUGACGCUGAGACGCGAAAGCGUGGGGAGCAAACAGG